Molecule: long non-coding RNA, 690 nt
Filed under: Musa acuminata (dwarf banana)
Lineage: Eukaryota; Viridiplantae; Streptophyta; Magnoliopsida; Zingiberales; Musaceae
Description: long non-coding RNA (MACU_LNC001595)
Source: RNAcentral
UACGAGAGAGAGAGAGAGAGAGAGAGAGAGAGCUUACAAAACCAGCAGAGCAAGGCAUUAAAACAUCUUUUAUCAGAAAUUGGUGGGUUAGAAAGAAUCGGAUUAAGUCGCCAUUGGAACAAACUUGAUGCCCAAUUCAUGCUUGGAAUUAGGGUUGAAAACAGUAACAAAUGUAUCAGAUAUUGAGGAAACCAAAUCUAUUUUCAUCAGAACUGGUGGUUCGGAAGGCAUAUGAUUAAGUCAAUAAGUCGACAAACAUGAUACCUGGUUCAGGCCUAGAAUCAUGGUUGAAGAUGGUCAGUUAUAUGCAAACUUUGAUCUGUAUGCUUUUACUCAUAUACCGGUACUAGAGUUAUACUAACUCCUGUUAAUGAUAUUUACUAAACGUACAUACCAAUCUGAUGUGGAUGUAGGAUGCGAUCAGAUUUAAGGCAGAUAUACAUGUGAACAUCAGAUGAACCAAAGAUCUCUAUCUUUGAUCUCCAAUGACUUUGGCAAUCUUGAUCAUGUCACAGAAGAAACCAUUCAACAUUCUGUCAAUCAACUUUGAUUGACAUGUGAACUAAGUAUAGUUAGAGGGGCCAUAUAGACGAAACCAUUCAACAUUCUGUCAAUAUGUAUUACUUAAGCAUGAGUUAUCUCUGAUCUCCAUUCUGUCAAAGUGGCCAAAAUUGUCAAUCAACAUUCAAC